Molecule: long non-coding RNA, 1218 nt
Filed under: Mustela putorius furo (domestic ferret)
Lineage: Eukaryota; Metazoa; Chordata; Mammalia; Carnivora; Mustelidae
Description: lncRNA (ENSMPUG00000026822.1)
Source: RNAcentral
UGCGGUCCGGGCGGUCUCCAAGGGCAGCCGGGCUGCCGGGCGCUGUGCCUGGCACCGCCUUACCUGGAGUCAAUGUCCGUCUUUGGCGGAGAGCUGCGGGAGGACGCUUUUUAUUCGGCUCGGUGGGAACUUGGGAGAACCCGGCGUCCAGCUCGCAUACCGGGAACGGCGCGGGGACUGCAGGCGUGGGGGUACCUGGCUCCUAGCAGCCUGGCUCAUACUCAGCCUUAAAGUCCCCUUCGCUGGUCCCGAGGACAGGCAUGAAUCCAAGCUCCGGAAGGCGGUCACUACUCCCUCAGCCUCCCGGCUCUCUCGCUCUCGCUUUGCUCUUUGGCUCGCUCGCUCUCUCCCUCUCUCGCUCGCUCGCUCGCCUGCGCUUUCCUCCUCCCCCCGCGCCAGAUCAGUUCGCAGCCGUGGGGACCGGGAGCGAGGCAGCCAGCGAAUGGAGAGGGAAGUCCAAGUGCGCCGCGGUCUCCGGGCGGGGAGCAGAGGAGGCCGGGCUACGCGGGGGGAGGGACUUACCGGGCGACGGGCGAAAAUGAAUGGGGGAGCGGCUGUCGGGGGGCGGGGAGGGAGGAGCAAAGAGCCUGGGUUUAUUCUGAGGAGUGUUUUGUACAUCUUUAGGCGGAGGAGGAGAAGGAAGAGGAGGAGAGAAGAAGGCCUUCUCCAAGGGAGGGGCGGCCUGGGUGGGCUGAGGCUGAACCUCUGGGGAGUCUCGUGGGUCUGGGGAUAGGGUGGCUUGUGUCCGUAUAUGAGCACCCAAAGGGACUGUGUGCGGUGUGUGUGCGCAAACCCCGAUUCCUGGUGUCUUAAGCUUGUCUGUAGCUGUGUGCGUCGCGAGUAUCUGAGUGUUGCUGGGUAUGCGGGUGCUAGUGAUUCUGUGUGUAUCUAUUCGAGUGUGGUUUUGUCUGGGGAGGUGACUGUGUGGGUCCAUUUGUAUCCGUGCGCCUCUCUAAGAGUAUUUAAGACUGUUUGUUUCUCUGUCUGUGUAGGCGUGAGCCCACGUAACCUCCCGGAAUUAAGCAAGUGCUUCUCUACGUGGGCAGGAUGUAGGAGCGAGAAGCUAAUGGGACGCAAAGUUCUCUCGAUACCACCAAAGGCAGAGAAGGGGAGACUUACAUUUCUGCGAUAACUGAAAGAUGAGCUAGGCAGGGCAGGAAACCCCACUUUAUAGAAAAAGUAUGACUUGCAGAAGAGUAAUAUUUUGCAAUCACGGAC